AAGCCCUGUGGUGUAUAACACACUGAAUUGCAAGUUCAGAGAAGCAGCUUCAACCCUGCCGGGGCUUC
RNAcentral lists this transfer RNA (68 nucleotides) under Glyphonycteris daviesi (Davies's big-eared bat). Its description in RNAcentral is "tRNA-Cys". It matches the Rfam family "tRNA". Rfam says of the family: Transfer RNA (tRNA) molecules are approximately 80 nucleotides in length. Their secondary structure includes four short double-helical elements and three loops (D, anti-codon, and T loops). Further hydrogen bonds mediate the characteristic L-shaped molecular structure. tRNAs have two regions of fundamental functional importance: the anti-codon, which is responsible for specific mRNA codon recognition, and the 3' end, to which the tRNAs corresponding amino acid is attached (by aminoacyl-tRNA synthetases). tRNAs cope with the degeneracy of the genetic code in two manners: having more than one tRNA (with a specific anti-codon) for a particular amino acid; and 'wobble' base-pairing, i.e. permitting non-standard base-pairing at the 3rd anti-codon position. Lineage: Eukaryota; Metazoa; Chordata; Mammalia; Chiroptera; Phyllostomidae. The record is from RNAcentral.